CCCUAUCAAUACCUCUUCCCCAUCCUUCCCCAUACUUCUUCAACUCACGUUGAUACAACCUAGGAGCUACAUGUAUCACCUGGCUAGGUAGAGUUACGAUUACUGCUCAAAGAAAAGUAGAGUUAUGAUUCCUAUACUACUUGGACAAGCAAUCAUUGGUGAACUCUAACAAUCUGUGAGAUCUGUGGGCAACCAAAAGAGAGAACUAGCAAGGCUGGUGAGUUCUCUUUCACUAUUUUAUCUAGAUUCAUCGUGCUAAUUUAAGUAGUUCUAAGCUAUCAUGUAAAUGUAACAUAACUAUUUUAAAGGUUAUCGAUAUAAUCCAUGUUUUGCUUUUCCAUUUUUAGCAAAUAGAGCGGAUUCUGAAAUCACAUAUUUGAAUUAGCUUUUGGUCGGUCGACUUGAGUAGUAAUUCCUUUUAUUAUCCCAGUUGUUAUUUCUACCUUGCUCUGCUGUAUAAGAUAACUCCAUAUAGGAGGUCAAGCUUGAAAAAUGUAUAAUACCCGACUUGUCGAGAAUCAUGUUAAUAAAGCUGUCAUGAUAUUUUCCCUGCUUCAAAGUGCUCCCUGAGGUAUUAGUUAACGGUAGUCUGUAUUGAUUUUUUUGUACAGAAUUUGACCAUUUGUGCAGGCUUUGGUUCGUGAUGGAUCGACCUUAAAGUCUUAAUGAUUACCCUUUCCAACAAGCAACAGUGGGGUUGUUCUGCUCAAUCCUGCUAUUUUUUUAGUCCAAUAAUUUGUAUGUGUUCUUCGCCUCAGAGAUUUUAUUAAUUUCGGUUGGGUUCUAAUUAGAGAUGCAUAUAAAUAACUUUGUUCUGGUUUUCAUAAAAGUAAUAUGGCACACACCUAGAAGGUUAUUGAUUAUACGCUGCAACCCAUUUUAUUAAGUUGGGUUUUCUUGACACCAUUUUCUAUUGCAGGCUACUGAAUAUAUAUAGUUCUUGCAAGAGAACUAACAUAAGUGUAUUUCGGUGAGGCACCAGAUACAACAUCUCACUUUCCGUUUUGGAAAUUAUCUUU
RNAcentral lists this long non-coding RNA (1019 nucleotides) under Triticum aestivum (bread wheat). Its description in RNAcentral is "long non-coding RNA (TAES_LNC017634)". Lineage: Eukaryota; Viridiplantae; Streptophyta; Magnoliopsida; Poales; Poaceae. The record is from RNAcentral.